UUUUUGAAGAUAAUUUAAAGUCUAAUCUGCCCACUGAUAAAAUUAUUAAAGGGCUGCAGUAUUUUGACUGUACAAAGGUAGCAUAAUCAAUAGUCUCUUAAUUGGUGACUUGUAUGAAAGAUUGGAUGAAAUAUAUACUGUCUCUAAUUAAUUUAUAGAAAUUAAUUUUUUAGUAAAAAAGCUAAAAUAAUUUUAAAAGACGAGAAGACCCUAUAGAGUUUAAUAAUUUAUUUAAUUAUAUUUAUUAUAUAAUUUUUAAAAUUAAAAUUAAAUGAAUUAUUUUGUUGGGGUGAUAGAAAAAUUAAAUUAACUUUUUUUAAUUGUUAACAUUAAUUUAUGAUUAAAUGAUCCAUUAAUAAUGAUUAAAAGAAAAAAUUACCUUAGGGAUAACAGCGUAAUUUUUUUUUUUAGUUCAAAUAGGAAAAAAAGUUUGCGACCUCGAUGUUGGAUUAAGAUAAAAUUUAAAUGCAAAAGUUUAAAAUUUUGAUCUGUUCGAUCAUUAAAAUCUUACAUGAUCUGA
Molecule: ribosomal RNA, 520 nt
Filed under: Papilio helenus
Lineage: Eukaryota; Metazoa; Arthropoda; Insecta; Lepidoptera; Papilionidae
Description: partial 16S ribosomal RNA
Rfam family: Bacterial large subunit ribosomal RNA
Source: RNAcentral